AAUCCACUAUAUAAAUGUAUGUGAGUACAACCACGUCCUCCAUGUUCAACAACCUGAACAGAACAGAGACUCAAGCUACAAAGAGCUACCUCCAACACAAGAACAACAACAACAAGAGAGCAACACAAAGCUUCAAAACCAGCAGCAACCAAACGACCUCAGCUCACAAGGAUUCCGGCAACCAGAGACUAAGCCCACCGUACAAAUCCAAGAUAAAUCAGUCAACAACACCUCUGCCAAAUUUCAG
RNAcentral lists this long non-coding RNA (247 nucleotides) under Brassica napus (rape). RNAcentral describes it as "long non-coding RNA (BNAP_LNC011261)". The record is from RNAcentral. Lineage: Eukaryota; Viridiplantae; Streptophyta; Magnoliopsida; Brassicales; Brassicaceae.